RNAcentral lists this ribosomal RNA (450 nucleotides) under uncultured bacterium. Its description in RNAcentral is "bacterial SSU rRNA". It matches the Rfam family "Bacterial small subunit ribosomal RNA", at positions 329 to 793 of the family's 1533-position model. The record is from RNAcentral.
UUCCAGACUCCUACGGGAGGCAGCAGUGGGGAAUAUUGGGCAAUGGGCGCAAGCCUGACCCAGCAACGCCGCGUGAAGGAAGAAGGCUUUCGGGUUGUAAACUUCUUUUAUGAGGGACGAAAGAAAUGACGGUACCUCAUGAAUAAGCCACGGCUAACUACGUGCCAGCAGCCGCGGUAAUACGUAGGUGGCAAGCGUUAUCCGGAUUUACUGGGUGUAAAGGGCGUGUAGGCGGGGAAGCAAGUCAGAUGUGAAAACCACGGGCUCAACCUGUGGCCUGCAUUUGAAACUGUUUUUCUUGAGUGCUGGAGAGGCAAUCGGAAUUCCGUGUGUAGCGGUGAAAUGCGUAGAUAUACGGAGGAACACCAGUGGCGAAGGCGGAUUGCCGGACAGUAACUGACGCUGAGGCGCGAAAGCGUGGGGAGCAAACAGGAUUAGAUACCCCAGUAC